UGUCAGGGGAGGGGCCAGGUGGAAGGUGAUUAGAUCAUAGUGGCACAUUUCCCCUUACUGUUUCAUGAAUAGUGAGCUCUCAGGAGAUCUGAUGGUUUUAAAGUGUAUGACAUGUCCCCCUUCACUCUCUCUCUCUCUCUCCUGCCACCAUGUGAAAAAGGUCCUUACUUACCCUUCACCUUCAGCCCUGAUGGUAAAUUACCUAAGUCCUCCAAGUGUCAUACUUCCUGUUAAUCCUGUGGAACUGUGAGUAAAUUAAACCUCUUUUCUGCAUAAAUCACCCAGUUUCAGGUAGUUCUUUAUAGCAGUGUGAAAAUGGACUAAUACCUGAUGCAGAAUAGGCACUAAAAAUAUGUUAACUGGGAAAAUUAUGAUAGUGAUAGAGUGUUUCAGAAUCUCACAUCAACAGUCUUUUAUUUUAUGACCUUUUUAGGUUGAAUAGCCCUGAGAUCAACAAUGUCACUGGUUGAAGAGGGCUGUCCAUUUCAUGUGAUAGAGGGCUCUUUAGGCGGCUUCUAUACUCAUUAGGUUCACAAAAUGUGAACUGUUCCAGAUGACUAGUAAUAAGACAUUUUCACUGAUGGCAGUUGAUGUUUCUCCUUUCUGACACAUCAAAGUCUAUCAAAAACUGAAUCCCUUGCAGUCUGACAUCACUCCAUAUGCUGCAAAAUGUCUUAUACUAACUUUAAUUUUUUAGGCACCUAGUAUUGAGCACCUAUUAUCUAUCUGACACUGCUUACACUGAUAAUUUAAAAUUAAUAGAUACAUUUGGUAUUCUCUGUUAAAGGAGAAAAACAAAAAGAUGAACAUAACAUUGGAGGAUAAGUGUUAUGACAGACAAAACCUGGCAGGUUAUGGAAACACAGAAAGAGAAUGUCCAAACCAGAAUAACUGAAAUGGGCAGAAGGAUGAUAAGGAAGGAUGCCUGGAGAAUGUGAUGGAGAACCUUGGCAAUAUCCUGAAUUUAGUACUAAAAGCAAAAGAUAAGGAAGAUGUUAUGUGGCCUCUGUAUAACAGAGACUGUUCUAUACUGAAAACUUAUGAUAUGCUUUCCACCUUAGACAAAGCCAGACAGGACAGAAGGCACAGAAGACAAAGCCUAUGGCUCACCAAAGUGAUAAAUCCAGUAGCGCAUACCUACAUAAUGCUGGGAUCCUAAAUGACUCUACCCUGUGUAUGGUGUGUACCAGUAAUAAAUCCACCCCACAGCACAAGAGAGGGAAAUUCUUUGCUAUGAUUUUUGUGCUAAAUUCAGACAAAGUAUCUCCCCUGAACAUUCAUAACCAAAGAACACUCCUCAUGCUGAUUUGUACACUGAAUCCACAUUGACCUAGUGGCCUAACAAACCUAAAUCCAACAAUCUGUUUAAAGUGGUCCCAAAUAGUAGUUACUUCAGAGAUCUCAGAUAAACCUAGGCAAAUUAUCUUUGAGGGAAUACACAUUCUAUCCAGGCUUCAAAGGAUUUCUACAGAUAAAGUUCCAAGAAACAUGAAUUUACAGUCAAAAUUUAUAAGAUAAUACCCACAAUAAAUCACUUGAUAGAGUCCAACAGAAACAACAGAUGACAGAAAGACUUUAGAUGUAGAAUAUAAAAUUAUAUUUCAAUCUGUCUAAAUAAAUAAAAGAUAUAUAUAUAAAGCAUUAUAAAAGAGUAAAACUAUACAAAUGCAAAUCAUAUUGCAAAAGAGCCAAAUGGAACUUCUGGAAAUAAGAUUAUGUGUAACUGAAGUAAAAAAUUUCAAUGGAUGAGUAAACAGCAAAUUUGAUACAGUUAAUGGGAAAUGUAAUGACUAGACUCAGUGCUGAAGAAAUUGUCUAUAAUGUAACAUGUAAACACAAGUAGUUGGAAAAUAUUAAAGAGAAGUUAAAAUA
Molecule: non-coding RNA, 1872 nt
Organism: Macaca mulatta (Rhesus monkey)
Lineage: Eukaryota; Metazoa; Chordata; Mammalia; Primates; Cercopithecidae
Source: RefSeq, a predicted model, not a curated record